GACCUUGUGGCGCAAUGGUAGCGCAUCUGAUUCCAGCUCAGAGGGUUGCAUGUUCAACUCAUGUCGAGGUCA
Molecule: non-coding RNA, 72 nt
Organism: Oreochromis niloticus (Nile tilapia)
Lineage: Eukaryota; Metazoa; Chordata; Actinopteri; Cichliformes; Cichlidae
Source: the annotation of a RefSeq genome assembly